Molecule: long non-coding RNA, 546 nt
Organism: Daucus carota subsp. sativus
Lineage: Eukaryota; Viridiplantae; Streptophyta; Magnoliopsida; Apiales; Apiaceae
Exons: 3
Source: RefSeq, a predicted model, not a curated record
CGGAUACACGCAACUUAGAGAGCUCUCGAAAUUGAAGAUCAAAACCUCAUUCUUCAAGAACAAAUCGAGCUUGCUGCAAGAACAAAUCGAAGCUUUGAAGGACAAAAUGAAGCUAUUAGAAGGUUGAUUUAUAGGAGGAAUCAAAGAUUAUGCUAAGACGAAAAGGGAUGUUGGCCGCAUUCUCGUUCUCCUAAGUCUUUAUGCUAUUUACUAUUGCGGCUUCUCCUUGAGUUUUUCGAGAUUGUCGACAUUUGCAUGCUAUUGGCAGAGGUGUAAAAGGGAUGAAGUUAGAUUCGUGGAGAUGAUUUUAAUGGUUUAUGCGCUUUUGGGGAGAUUCCCUUGCAGAUGGAAUAUUGUAGCUUUUAGUAAAAUUAAUUUCAUAAUUCUUUAUGCUUGUAAUUUUGUUUUAACUUGUUAUUUUAUUUCCUAGUUUUUUGUUGGUGGUUUCUUGGAGAGUGUUCCUUGAAACUUAAGUUAGAGUUGAGAGCUUUUUUCUCAUGUUUGUAUAUUUUUUUUAAUCUAUAAAAUUCAUACGAGGUGUCAUUG